Molecule: ribosomal RNA, 274 nt
Filed under: uncultured bacterium
Lineage: Bacteria
Description: partial 16S ribosomal RNA
Rfam family: Bacterial small subunit ribosomal RNA
Source: RNAcentral
AUACGGAGGGGGCGAGCGUUAUUCGGAAUCAUUGGGCGUAAAGGGCGCGUAGGCGGCCUGACAAGUCAGGGGUGAAAUCCCUCGGCUCAACCGAGGAACUGCCUCUGAAACUGUCAGGCUUGAGGCCGGGAGAGGGUAGUGGAAUUCCCAGUGUAGCGGUGAAAUGCGUAGAUAUUGGGAGGAGCACCAGUGGCGAAGGCGGCUACCUGGACCGGUUCUGACGCUGAGGCGCGAAAGUGUGGGGAGCAAACAGGAUUAGAAACCCUAGUAGUCC